UGCAGAUAUUCUUUGUUAUUCCAUCAUCAUCUCAAACCUCUUGGGUAUAGUGUUUGAAUGCUACUCUGACCAUAAAUUCCAAUAAAACCUAGGAAAAAAUGAAACUACUAUAUUAACUGAAAGGGAAGCAUUUGACAGCUUCUCUUGGGCAUAUCAGAAUCGCCAGCAUCACUACUCUUGCACUGUGGGGCCAUUAUUAAGUGAAAUAAGGAUUACUUGAACACAAGCACUGCAAUACCGCUACAGUCAAUGUGAUAACCCAGCUGGUGACUAAGUGACCAAGGACAGGGAGCAUCUACAGUGGGGAGACUCUGGAAAAAGGGAGGAUUCACAUCCAGUGCCACUGGGGCAGCUCAGAGUGAGAGUUCAUCAUGCUACACAGAAUGGCACACAAU
RNAcentral lists this long non-coding RNA (395 nucleotides) under Pongo abelii (Sumatran orangutan). Its description in RNAcentral is "lincRNA". Lineage: Eukaryota; Metazoa; Chordata; Mammalia; Primates; Hominidae. The record is from RNAcentral.